GAUGAAGAACGCAGUGAAAUGCGAUAAGUAAUGUGAAUUGCAGAAUUCAGUGAAUCAUCGAAUCUUUGAACGCAUCUUGCGCUCCUUGGUAUUCCUUGGAGCAUGCCUGUUUGAGUAUCAUGAGCAAAUCUCAAAGUCAAUUCCUUUUGUUAAUUCAAUUUGGUUUUGCUUUGGACUUGGAGGUCUUGCAGAUUUCACAGUCUGCUCCUCUUAAAUGCAUUAGCUGGAUCUCAGUAAUUAUGCUUGGUUCCACUCGGCGUGAUAAGUAUCACUCGCUGAGGACACUGUUAAAAAGGUGGCCAGGAAAAUACUGAUUGAACCGCUUCUAACGGUCUAUUAAGUUAGACAAUUACCCUUAAGUUUGAUCUCAAAUCAGGUAGGACUACCCGCUGAACUUAAGCAUAUCAAUAAGCGGAGGA
Molecule: unclassified non-coding RNA, 419 nt
Filed under: soil metagenome
Description: partial contains 5.8S ribosomal RNA, internal transcribed spacer 2, and large subunit ribosomal RNA
Rfam family: 5.8S ribosomal RNA (bases 1-120)
Source: RNAcentral